UUGCUCCUUUGUUUUUUUUUUUGCCAUUUUCAUUUCACUUUUUUUUGGCUUUUGUUUUUUAGAUAAUGGUGGAUAAUAAGAAAAUUCGACAUGGUUAUUGUUGAAUUGAAUGAUGAUGAUAAUGAAGUUUGAACAUGAUAUUGUAAUGGAUGGAUGAAAAUGAAACAUUGUUCAUGUUAGAUGAUAAUGAUGUAAGUGUAUGAAUGAAUGGAAACUCGAGUUUGAUUUCAUUAGCUAAGGAUGAC
Molecule: long non-coding RNA, 245 nt
Filed under: Lathyrus oleraceus (garden pea)
Lineage: Eukaryota; Viridiplantae; Streptophyta; Magnoliopsida; Fabales; Fabaceae
Description: Pisum sativum (pea) long non-coding RNA (PSAT_LNC030697)
Source: RNAcentral